Molecule: long non-coding RNA, 1062 nt
Organism: Cyprinus carpio carpio
Lineage: Eukaryota; Metazoa; Chordata; Actinopteri; Cypriniformes; Cyprinidae
Source: Ensembl
AUGAUGAGAAACACAGACAGACACAAAGACUCAGAGCCACAAAAAAAUGUUGGUCACUGCAGCACAAACCUCUCUAUCCUCUCUCUAAACCUCUCUAUCUCUAUCCAUCUGUGUGUCUUUCUAUCCAUCUGUGUGUGUGUCUGUCUUUCUGUCUGUCUGUCUCUUUAUCUGUCCCUCUCUCUAUCUAUCUAUCUGUCUGUCUAUCCGUCUGUGUCUCUGUCUAUCUACACAUCUCUCUGUCUGUCUGUCUGUCUAUCCAUCUGUCCGUCUGUCUGUCUAACAAUCUUUCUGUAUGUCUAUCUACCCAUCUCUCUCUCUGUCUGUCUAUCCAUCUGUCCGUCUGUCUGUCUGUCUGUCUUUCUUUCUGUCUGUCUGUCUGUCUGUCUGCCUGUCUUUCUAUCAUCUGUCUAUCUAUCUGUCUGUCGUUCUGUCUGCCUGUCUUUCUAUCAUCUGUCUAUCUAUCUGUCUGUCGUUCUGUCUAUCUAUCUGUCUUUCUGUCUGUCUGUCUGUCUGUCUGUCUUUCUUUCUGUCUGUCUGUCUGUCUGUCUGUCUGUCAAUCUAUCAUCUGUCUAUCUAUCUGUCUGUCGUUCUGUCUGCCUGUCUUUCUAUCAUCUGUCUAUCUAUCUGUCUGUCGUUCUGUCUAUCUAUCUGUCUUUCUGUCUGUCUGUCUGUUUUUUUCUGUCUGUCUGUCUGUCUGUAUGUCUGUCUUUCUAUCAUCUGUCUAUCUAUCUGUCUGUCGUUCUGUCUAUCUGUCUUUGUCUGUCUGUCUGUCUGUCUGUCUGUCAAUAUAUCAUCUGUCUGUCGUUCUGUCUGUCGUUUUGUCUGUCUGUCUGUCUGUCUGUCUAUCUAUCUGUCUGUCGUUCUGUCUAUCUGUCUUUGUCUGUCUGUCUGUCUGUCUGUCUGUCUAUCUAUCAUCUGUCUAUCUAUCUAUCUAUCUAUCUAUCUAUCUAUCUAUCUAUCUAUCAAUCCGACUGUCUGACUGACUCUCUAUCCAUCUAUCUGUCCAUGCAUCCAUCCAUCUAUCAUAUAGAAAUGCAAUUUCAAAUUAAGGAAGUAGAUUAA